RNAcentral lists this long non-coding RNA (226 nucleotides) under Phoenix dactylifera (date palm). Its description in RNAcentral is "long non-coding RNA (PDAC_LNC004747)". The record is from RNAcentral. Lineage: Eukaryota; Viridiplantae; Streptophyta; Magnoliopsida; Arecales; Arecaceae.
UGGCAACGGGGCAAAAGUUGCUGCUGUGGCUGUGGGCACCUACCAUCUGCGACUACCGUCUGAUUUUAGUUUAUUACUUAGAGACUGCUAUUAUGUACCUGCUGCUAGCAGAAAUUUGAUUUCUGUUUCAUGUCUAACACAGGAAGGUCAUAUUUUUACAUUUGACAAAGAUUGCUGUUCUAUUUAUUUCAGAAAUAAAAUAGUCGCACGUGGUUUUAUGAUUGAC